RNAcentral lists this transfer RNA (76 nucleotides) under Desulfatiglans anilini. It matches the Rfam family "tRNA". From Rfam's summary of the family: Transfer RNA (tRNA) molecules are approximately 80 nucleotides in length. Their secondary structure includes four short double-helical elements and three loops (D, anti-codon, and T loops). RNAcentral also lists the same sequence under 3 other names. The record is from RNAcentral. Lineage: Bacteria; Pseudomonadati; Thermodesulfobacteriota; Desulfobacteria; Desulfatiglandales; Desulfatiglandaceae.
GGGCCAGUAGCUCAGCUGGUAGAGCAGUUGACUCUUAAUCAAUUGGUCGAGGGUUCGACUCCUUCCUGGCCCACCA